This 28-nucleotide non-coding RNA is filed under the name Bombyx mori (domestic silkworm). The record is from RNAcentral. Lineage: Eukaryota; Metazoa; Arthropoda; Insecta; Lepidoptera; Bombycidae.
UGCCAGCCGUAGAUUUGAGAAAGGUUUC